This 394-nucleotide ribosomal RNA is filed under the name uncultured bacterium. RNAcentral's name for it is "partial 16S ribosomal RNA". It matches the Rfam family "Bacterial small subunit ribosomal RNA", at positions 523 to 918 of the family's 1533-position model. The record is from RNAcentral.
AUACGUAGGGAGCGAGCGUUGUCCGGAAUUACUGGGCGUAAAGGGCGCGUAGGCGGCGCUUCAAGUCGUCUGUCAAAUGGAAGGGCUUAACCCUUUUUCGCAGACGAAACUGGAGAGCUUGAGAAGCAGAGAGGCAAACAGACUUCCUGGUGUAGCGGGGAAAUGCGUAGAUAUCCGGAAGAAUACCAGUGGCGAAGGCGGUUUGCUGGCUGCAUACUGACGCUGAAGCGCGAAAGCCAGGGGAGCGAACGGGAUUAGAUACCCCGGUAGUCCUGGCAGUAAACGAUGUAUGCUGGGUGUGAGACUAGCGAUAGUUUCGUGCCGAAGUUAACGCGAUAAGCAUACCGCCUGGGGAGUACGGUCGCAAGAUUGAAACUCAAAUGAAUUGACGGGG